AUGAACGCUGGCGGCGUGCCUAAUACAUGCAAGUCGCGCGAACAGACGAGGAGCUUGCUCCUCUGACGUUAGCGGCGGCCGGGUGAGUAACACGUGGAUAACCUACCUAUAAGACUGGGAUAACUUCGGGAAACCGGAGCUAAUACCGGAUAAUAUAUUGAACCGCAUGGUUCAAUAGUGAAAGACGGUUUUGCUGUCACUUAUAGAUGGAUCCGCGCCGCAUUAGCUAGUUGGUAAGGUAACGGCUUACCAAGGCAACGAUGCGUAGCCGACCUGAGAGGGUGAUCGGCCACACUGGAACUGAGACACGGUCCAGACUCCUACGGGAGGCAGCAAUAGGGAAUCUUCCGCAAUGGGCGAAAGCCUGACGGAGCAACGCCGCGUGAGUGAUGAAGGUCUUCGGAUCGUAAAACUCUGUUAUUAGGGAAGAACAAAUGUGUAAGUAACUAUGCACGUCUUGACGGUACCUAAUCAGAAAGCCACGGCUAACUACGUG
RNAcentral lists this ribosomal RNA (496 nucleotides) under uncultured bacterium. RNAcentral's name for it is "partial 16S ribosomal RNA". It matches the Rfam family "Bacterial small subunit ribosomal RNA", at positions 29 to 507 of the family's 1533-position model. The record is from RNAcentral.